UUGAAACAAAGGCAAAUCCGUACGAAAGUCGGAGACGCAAAGCCACGGGUCUACUUCAUCCAAAGGAGGAUGUUAAGACAGCCGGGCCGCUCAA
RNAcentral lists this non-coding RNA (94 nucleotides) under Paenibacillus sp. RNAcentral describes it as "c-di-GMP sequence". It matches the Rfam family "c-di-GMP-I riboswitch aptamer". Rfam says of the family: GEMM was predicted in a large-scale screen for bacterial structured RNA regulatory elements. Genes associated with GEMM are involved in a diverse array of functions, including chemotaxis regulation, signal transduction, secretion and chitin. Lineage: Bacteria; Bacillati; Bacillota; Bacilli; Caryophanales; Paenibacillaceae. The record is from RNAcentral.